This 960-nucleotide ribosomal RNA is filed under the name uncultured organism. RNAcentral's name for it is "bacterial SSU rRNA". It matches the Rfam family "Bacterial small subunit ribosomal RNA", at positions 470 to 1428 of the family's 1533-position model. The record is from RNAcentral.
UGACGGUACCCUACUAGAAAGGAGCCGCUAACUUCGUGCCAGAAGCGUCGGUAAUACGGGGGCUCCAAGCGUUAUCCGGUGUUAUUGGGCGUAAAGAGUCGUGUAGGUGGUUGGGUAAGUUAUCUUUCAAAUAUCUUUGCUUAACAAAGAGGAGGGGGAUAAUACUGCUCGACUAGAAUUUUCUCAAGGGAGAUCGGAACUGAGGGAGGAGUAGUGAAAUGCGUUGAUACCCUCGGGAACACCAGUGGCGUAGGCGGAUCUCUGGGAGAAGAUUGACACUGAGACACGAAAGCUAGGGGAGCGAAGCAGAUUAGAGACCUGCGUAGUCCUAGCCGUAAACGCAUGCUUGCUAGCUGCAUGAAUCUACCUUCGGGUGGUAUCGUGUGGCGAAGGUAACCCGUUAAGCAAGCCGCCUGGAAAGUACGGCCGCAAGGCUGAAAUUCAAAGGAAUUGGCGGGGAGGCACACAACCAGUGGAACAUGUGGUUUAAUUCGAGACUAACCGAAGAACCUCACCAGGGUUUGACAUGUAGCUGCACGUCUUAAGAAAUUAAGACUCUCUUGAAGGUGCUACACAGGUGCUGCAUGGCUGUCGUCAGCUCGUUCCGUGAGGAGUGCCCUUAAGUGGGACAACGAGCGCAACCCCUAUUACAUGUUAGAAAUGUCAUGUAAGACUGCCUUGCCAUUUGGCGGGGAGGAAGGAGGGGCAGACGUCAAGUCCGCAUGGUCCUUAUGCCCUGGGCUACACACAUGUUACAAUGAGUACGGCAAUGAGUCUGCCGCGAGCACGUAAGUGUAAGCUAAUCUCUUAAAUGUACUCUCAGUGGGGAUUGAGGUCUGCAACUCGACCUCAUGAACACGGAAUUGGUAGUAAUCGCGGGUCAGCUAUACCGCGGUGAUACGUUCUUGCCUCUUGCACACACCGCCCGUCAAACCAGCAAAGUCGAUUGUAUCCGAACCU